GCGGACGUGGCAGAGUGGUAAUGCGUCGGCCUUGAGAGCCGAUUCGCCUUCGGGCGAUCAGGAGUUCAAAUCUCCUCGUCCGCG
This 84-nucleotide transfer RNA is filed under the name Candidatus Nitrososphaera evergladensis SR1. RNAcentral's name for it is "tRNA-Ser (TGA) (tRNA-Ser-TGA-1-1)". It matches the Rfam family "tRNA". Rfam says of the family: Transfer RNA (tRNA) molecules are approximately 80 nucleotides in length. Their secondary structure includes four short double-helical elements and three loops (D, anti-codon, and T loops). Further hydrogen bonds mediate the characteristic L-shaped molecular structure. tRNAs have two regions of fundamental functional importance: the anti-codon, which is responsible for specific mRNA codon recognition, and the 3' end, to which the tRNAs corresponding amino acid is attached (by aminoacyl-tRNA synthetases). tRNAs cope with the degeneracy of the genetic code in two manners: having more than one tRNA (with a specific anti-codon) for a particular amino acid; and 'wobble' base-pairing, i.e. permitting non-standard base-pairing at the 3rd anti-codon position. Lineage: Archaea; Thermoproteati; Nitrososphaerota; Nitrososphaeria; Nitrososphaerales; Nitrososphaeraceae. The record is from RNAcentral.